GCAUAUCAAUAAGCGGAGGAAAAGAAACCAACAGGGAUUGCCCUAGUAACGGCGAGUGAAGCGGCAACAGCUUCAAAUUUGAAAUCUGGCUCUUUUAGAGUCCGAGUUGUAAUUUGCAGAGGGCGCUUUGGCUUUGGCAGCGGUCCAAGUUCCUUGGAACAGGACGUCACAGAGGGUGAGAAUCCCGUACGUGGUCGCUGGCUAUUGCCGUGUAAAGCCCCUUCGACGAGUCGAGUUGUUUGGGAAUGCAGCUCUAAAUGGGAGGUACAUUUCUUCUAAAGCUAAAUAUUGGCCAGAGACCGAUAGCGCACAAGUAGAGUGAUCGAAAGAUGAAAAGCACUUUGGAAAGAGAGUCAAACAGCACGUGAAAUUGUUGAAAGGGAAGCGCUUGCAGCCAGACUUGCUUGCAGUUGCUCAUCCGGGCUUUUGCCCGGUGCACUCUUCUGUAGGCAGGCCAGCAUCAGUUUGGGCGGUGGGAUAAAGGUCUCUGUCACGUACCUCUCUUCGGGGAGGCCUUAUAGGGGAGACGACAUACCACCAGCCUGGACUGAGGUCCGCGCAUCUGCUAGGAUGCUGGCGUAAUGGCUGUAAGCGGCCCGUCUUGAAACACGGACCAAGGAGUCUAACAUCUAUGCGAGUGUUUGGGUGUCAAGCCCGAGCGCGUAAUGAAAGUGAACGGAGGUGGGAACCCGCAAGGGUGCACCAUCGACCGAUCCUGAUGUCUUCGGAAGGAUUUGAGUAAGAGCAUGGCUGUUGGGACCCGAAAGAUGGUGAACUAUGCUUGAAUAGGGUGAAGCCAGAGGAAACUCUGGUGGAGGCUCGCAGCGGUUUCUGACGUGCAAAUCGAUCGUCAAAUUUGGGGCAUAGGGGCGAAAGACUAAUCGAACUAUCUAGUAGCUGGGUUCUGC
This 908-nucleotide ribosomal RNA is filed under the name Septonema secedens. Its description in RNAcentral is "LSU rRNA". It matches the Rfam family "Eukaryotic large subunit ribosomal RNA", at positions 38 to 961 of the family's 3401-position model. Lineage: Eukaryota; Fungi; Ascomycota; Dothideomycetes; Venturiales; Cylindrosympodiaceae. The record is from RNAcentral.